This 343-nucleotide unclassified non-coding RNA is filed under the name soil metagenome. RNAcentral describes it as "partial contains 5.8S ribosomal RNA, internal transcribed spacer 2, and large subunit ribosomal RNA". The stretch from base 1 to 120 matches the Rfam family "5.8S ribosomal RNA", at positions 35 to 154 of the family's 154-position model. The record is from RNAcentral.
GAUGAAGAACGUAGUGAAAUGCGAUAAGUAAUGUGAAUUGCAGAAUCCAGUGAAUCAUCGAAUCUUUGAACGCACAUUGCGCCCGCCAGCAUUCUGGCGGGCAUGCCUGUUCGAGCGUCAUUUCAACCCUCGACCUCCCUUUGGGGAAGUCGGCGUUGGGGACCGGCAGCACACCGCCGGCCCUGAAAUGGAGUGGCGGCCCGUCCGCGGCGACCUCUGCGUAGUAAACCAACUCGCACCGGAACCCCGACGUGGCCACGCCGUAAAACACCCAACUUCUGAACGUUGACCUCGUAUCAGGUAGGACUACCCGCUGAACUUAAGCAUAUCAAUAAGCGGAGGA